GAGUCUGGUUCUGCUCGAGGUUUCUGCCUUAAAAGAGGACAUUGCUAAGUGCUUGUUCAUGUUCGACUCCUGUUUGGAUCUUUGUAAAAAUAAAAGAACACAGUCCAGACCUGCUCGUUUUGUAAAAUGUCCAGAGAUCAUUUUUAUUAGAAUUUGGUGCUUCAUGAAUUGAUUGAUGAGCCUGAGUUUGGCAGGAUCAUUGAGAGCACAUUCAUCAUUCAUUAGGCUGCAGACUGGAACAGAGAAAGAAGGAGAGGACAGAAUAAAUGAGGGCUGAAUGGAGCCAGGAGACACAGCCGUACAUGUUGACCUGUGGUGCUAACAUCAGUGACCCACACUUUUGACUGACUCACUGUUCUUCAACCACUGUCUCCCUUUUGCCAUCUCCAGAUCACGGCCUGCUGCCUGUGAGCGACGCUCCUCCCUGAAGCUCCUUUCUUCCACCUGACUCACAGAUCCUAAAGGAAACUUUCACGUUCACUGAGCAGGAUGGACAUCGGACAGUCUGCUAAGGAGUCCUGAACCCCUCCUCCAAGUAAGUCAAACCACGGUCAGCGCUGUGCAUGACACCACGGGGCAGCCCUGCAGGCCGCCCUGACCCCAACUCUUUUAUUGUACAGAAGUGAGCAAGAGGUCGUGACACAGCCGAUGGUCACAGAAGUUUAAAGUCUUCCAGGGUUGAAAAAAAGCAGCUUGUCCUUUUCCUGACACUUGAAAGAUCUGAGGAUGUGACUCCGCUGGGAAACAGGACAGUGAAGUCUUUCAGUGUCUGCGCUGAUUUUAUCUGGCUUGAGAGUUAAGAGUUAAGCUCUGAGGUUAAAAAAUUUCUCAGUGACAUGUAAUACAAAAAGUGCCUCCAAAUGAUAGAUGUUCAGAUUUUCCUGCAGCUCAUUUGGAUUGUACUGUGUGUUGCUUUUCCGAGGUGCACUGCCAGGGGCAUGGGCGUAGGUUCAGUGUUUUUCCCUCCAAGAUCAGCAAGAUCUUUUUUCUUAAUUUGCUUUGGCUGCAUUUUAAAUCCUGCAUGUGUCCAUCAUUUAACUGGUAAAUGUCUGCUGUUGACCCUGAUGGUGGAAAUGAUUGCAGUCCAGUAAUCUGUCAAACUUGUUUCAGUAAAUCCAGUUAUUAAAGGCAAAAAAAUAAGAAGAGCAGAAGUUUGGCAAUACUUGCACAGUUGUUUGUGAACUUUAGAUUCCUAAUAAGCUCUCGGUUACAACACCACAAGUCUUGAUGCAAAAUGAAAGUGUAGCUUCUUCAACUUUUUGUUGCGUUUCACAUGUCAUUUUACUGAUGGGAUACUUAAAUGCUUUCAUUUUUCAUUCGCAACCUUUAAAAUUAUUAAAAUUUCCAUCUCAUUUGAUCAGUCAAAAACAAAAAAGAUGGGUGUAAAGAGCAAAUUUGGGACCUUUACUUUCAGCGUCGACAGCUCUGUCAAAACAGAUCAUGUGUAAUUCUUAUUCUAGCCUACAUUACAACAGCUACAAAUUCACAUCAGGGAAUUAAAGGGGAUGUUGAAGUGCCAAAAACUGCUGUUCCCUAAGUGGCCACUAGAGGCUCACUCUAUAAGUGAGUCAAUACCUAUAAGGCCCCCAUCCCACUAAGCCCCCAUUAGGCGUGAAAUAAAGGGUGUCAUUUCCAUAGCUUUGAAAAGUUGGCUGUGCAUCUGGCCAAGCAAUCCAUAAUGUCAAACUCAUUGUUUGAAAAAGGCAGUCUGGAGAAGUCAGCGGAUUCUCAAACGGAUCUCCAUGAAAUCUUGAAUAUCAAUUGCACUGGUAUAUGAGACACAGGCUUGUAUGGGAGUCUCUGUGAGGGGGGAAAGUCUUUGUUAUGAUUUCCAUUAUGUUUUGUUAAGGAAGUCCACAAUGUGCAGUUUUCUAGGCAGCCGUGUAGUUCUUUCUACCACCAUCUGUCUUGCAAUCCUGCUAGCCACCAUUGUAGUUGCCCCAAGGUAAUUUUGUUAAUGCUGCGCUCCAGUUGUGCCCGGAAUUCGGGAUUUCCGAGCGCCGAGUCGGAAAUUCAUCUGGAUGCCCUCCUGAAGUCGGAUUUCUGACUCGGAAAGUCAGACGAUCUUCGCCAACCCCGACUUAACGACAGUGUCAUAAUUCAAGAUGGCAGUGCUGUGCAUCAACAGUAAAGAGUGACAGUAAAAGCUCUCGUAAUUUAUCAUUUAUUAGCACUUCUGUUUUGUUUUUGUGAUGUUAAAUAAGUGGUUUUCGUUGUGCUGCCAAAGGUCUAACUGUGAACACGGUGCUAUGGUGUUUGCAGGGUAAAAUACUGUGUUCUGCAUUGUUAAAAACUGGUAUAGCUAACAACAACUGACAACGGCCAACGACAGCUGAGAAUUGAAAAAAAAACAGCUAACAACGGGUAACUGUAGGCGUCCAUCUUGGUUUUCCGACUUGUUAACUCUAACGCUGUCAACUUGGGUGUAACGUCAUUCCUAGUUCCGACAUCCGACUUCCGAGGUAAAGAGAUACAAAUCUUCAGCCAACAUCGAGACUCACGCCACCCUCCUCUGUUUGAUAUUUACCGACUUUAACUGAGAAGUAUUUAUUAUCAAACCAGAUCUUCACAUGGUUUAUUUACUUUAUAGCAAACCACCAUUUUUUUAAAGACAUGAUUAUGACCUAAUGAGGGAGAGAGGCUGUUAAAAAGUGGCUGCUUGACCGGCUCAACUCAUUGUGCAUCAAACAUGCCCAAUCUAAUAUUGCCUUCAUUACAUUUUAUAUUGGCGUGUUGGACACAGCUCAUUUAUUACACGAUAAAAAAGUAUUAAAAGUGUGUCUGGGACACUGACUUUUAUAGUUUAUUUCACCCUCUGAUAAAAGUCUGUUUGCUGUUUCUUGCAACUAAUCCUGUAGUUAGUGAAAGAGUUAAUCUUUGGUUAAAACAGAGGAACUGGCCUGAACAGCAGUCAGCUAAAUAUAAUCUGCAGUCACACUGAAACUAAAAGUAAAGUUCUUUGGUAUUAUUUACAAGAUCACUCCCAUAAUACCAAGGAACUUCUCUGUUUUUGUUUUUCUUUUGAAACAAGGCGGAGUUUCACUAUUUCAUCUUCAUUUUUACAGCAGACCUCAGAGAUGCAUUUAUAUUCAUGCAGAUGUAUGAUAAACACCGCUGCACUCUGUCAAUGAAGCAGUAAGGCUGAUAAACUUUAACCUCAGAGAAACUGGCACUUAGAGGUUAAAGCAGUGAGUGAAUUCAGCAGGCUGAGUGUCAAGAGAUCAACAUCAUCUAGAGCGGAGAAGAGGAAAACACCAUCAUGUGAUGUUGACGAGGAUGAUAAUGAUGGUGAUGUAAAGCAUGAUGGAUCCCUCUAUUAAUAGACCUGGCAAUAAAGUGACCACAGUCACAAAGCAGAACAGCAGCGCUAUGGAUGAGAGGCCCCAUUAUGUCCAAACGAAGGAGUCAGCCGCAAACAAACCUCAUCUGACUGAGCCUGUCUUUCUCUGUCCCCUUGCUCGGCCGCUCUCCCUGCACUCACCCCGGCUCUUUUUCUGCUGAGUGGGUGUUUGGAGGAGUUGUGAAGGUCAGGGGAAAAGUCUCUGGAGCUCGGGGCUUUGACCUCUGAUUGGCCCUGGCUGCUCUGAGUCACGGAGACGGAGAUGGAGCGCCAACCAAAAGGGCCCCGCGUUGUCCAAAAGCAGACGACGAGUAGGCUGCUACCCACCCAGCUUUGACAAAAGGAGAGUUGUGCAGAGGUGGUGAGACACAAUGGGACGGUUUGAGAGGAGAGAAAGGCUCAAUCCUCGCCAUAAGCACCUAACUGUGAGAGCCUGCCUUGUUUAGAGACAGAAUCUAUAGGGUAAAGAAAUUAAAGGGACUUUCCUCUAUGUUAAACUCUGCAACUUAGUAAAAAUUGAGUCACACUUAAAGCUACUGUGAGGAGUUUUUAGCUUGUUAUAAAACAAAGUGAAAGUGAUCAUGAUGGCCUACAAAAAAACCCCCAAACCAUCAAGAGGAGACUGAUUAUUUGAUACAAUGAUUGUAUCAGCCUUAAAGCCACGCUGCGGGGUAGGUGUCAGAAACGGCUGCAGAUACAGCCUUUUGUCAUUCGUAAUUUCCACACCAGAAAUUCAUCGUGAGUUGCAUCUUAGACAUUCAGGAGCUGUUGAAACAGAAAUGUAUUUUCAAAAGAAACGCGUGUAGUGUUCUGCAGUGAUGUUUCAUAGCAAGGCUGGACUGCCAACUCCAGACCUUGCAUGCAUACACCUGCUUUGAAGGUAUUUUUUCUGGUUUGUUUGCAUGUGUUGUCUUGUGUAAGUUGAGCACAUGCUGUAUUCAAUGAGUCACUUUUUUGGCUCAAGUCAUCAGCUAAUUUUUCCAUUUUUUAAUGACAUUUAGUAACCAGUGUAAAGGGACGCUACUGUAAAGUAAUGGUAUAACUGUUCAUCUAUUUUUUAGCCCAAUAUUAAUCAUUUAUUUUCUUUCCAUCGUCAAUACUUUAUUUUGCGAAAGCCCUAAUUCACAUUAAAUGACAGAUUUGACCCUCAAAAGUCAGCAAGACAAGAUGUUUCGCCAAAACUCAAGCAUAUAGAGGACAAGAUAAGCGAAGACUGCUUUGUCCACAGGGGGCGCCAAAAUCAGCACAAACAAAGUUUUUCAUGGGAGCUGUAAGCAAUUAUCUGCCAAUACUAAGAUCAAUGCUUUGCUGAUAAUGUUGCUUACGCUUCUUUGAAUAAGAAAGGUGAGGUUUUAAUCGAAGAAUCACGACUGAAUAAUCAAUUACAAGGUUUAGUUCACAGGGGGCGCCAAAAUCAAUGCAAACCUGAAGUUUCUCUCUUGUGCUUUAAAAAAAUGUUUGUUCAAAAAUACUUUUGAUCAGUCCCCCUGACAUAAAAUAAACCCCACAAAUUACUAAGAAAAGGUCUUCCAUAUUUUUAUCACAGGGUCAGACAAUAUCUCUCAAUAUAUUUUUGAGCAGAGAGGAAUUUUUCAGACAAUAGAGAACCAAAAAAAAAAAUCUGCUUUUCUCCUUCUUGUCUACUCCUUUCAUGUAGAUGCUCACAUUGUGGUCAAAAUAUUCACUCAUGCAUACUUGUCCCUAAGUGUAUACAUACGUGCUUGUCCACACACACGCACACACACUCAUACUUUGCUUAAUGUUACGGUAAACAGCUCUCUUCCACCCUGAGGGCCUUGCCUUUCCUAAACUCACCCAGGAACCGGAGCAGGUAACACUCAGUCAGUUUUGGCUCCAGUCCACCCCAUCCCGGCUGUUAAAACCGAGUCUGUUGCCAAGCAGCUUGUCCUGCCCUGGAACUCUUUGAAUGUUUGCCCAAAAAAUAUGCAUAACAAAGAAUCAACACUGAAUCCUGGAGCAGUUUUCGGGGCGUUGAGGGGGACUUGUGUAGAAAGAAAAGCAGAAGUCAAAGGAGGAAUUUUUGUUCUUGAAAACACAGAAGAACUCUAAAUCUAAACAGACUAAACAAAGAAAUCAGAUGAUGAGGAUGUGACUAAGAUACCGGCCACGUUUUUUUCUUUUUUUUUUUUCUGAAAAAAACCUGAUAAGUGAAGUGUUGAACUAAUCACCACAUGCCAUUGUUUGGAGCUGAAUCCUCCCCAAAUUCACAGCACUCCUGUUUAUCAUUAAUGUGGUGACUAAGACGGAUUGCUGAGGACAAAAACAAUAUCACAUACGAAUCUAUAACACAUCGUACAUCUGCCUUCACACAUUUGUCUCUCCCACUGGUUCGGGAGUGUUUUUGACGAACAUUUGGCAUGAUGGCACGGUGCCACCUCACGAGUGUUCCCGUAAACACUCACCACUCUGGACCCUAUACUGUCGAGCUGUGCCAAAAUGUCACUGAACCUGUGGUCAACCUCUACCGCAGCGCUGAAUAAAAGCAAAGCCCCAGCAGAGCGGAGCAACAGCAGAAACAGGCAGCUGCUCAGAGAAUAGAAUUUAUAAGGGAGGUGGCAAAGUGGAGGCAUAACACUGCCAGGAACUGUUGUUUUCCUUUGUUUAUUCAUAUUCCCAUGGAUACUGACAAAAAGGCAUAGAUUUAAAAUAGUCCAUCUAAAUGCCAGAGAAUUACCUGACAUGAGGCCAUUAUCAUCAGCCACGGAGACCCUAUAAAAGUGAUGUCAGGCCUCAGCCAACUUUCCAAGUCAUGUCAAGAGGAUUUGCAUUCACUUCUCUGUGACGUUGUAAAAACAUGUUGAGUAACUUCUGCCCUGACAGGAUUAUUCGCUUUAGGCCCAAACAUGAAAACACGGUCUGCUGGAGCAAAUAUCUCCAUAUGUGCAUUUUUCCGACCAGUACAUGUUGUUACAGAGUAUUUUGACUGUUGACUGCCACAGGGAAAGUGUGUUGAGAGCUUUACCUGACCCCCCCUCCCUAGCAAAAGCUGCUUACAUACUCAAUCAAAUUUGAGAACAGUGAAGGUUAAAUAACUAAAGGUGGGGCUGGACUAGUUUCAAGACAUCCAAAUAUGAUCGGGUUGUUUGAUUUGGCAGUUCGUUGAUUUUCAUUAUGCAAAUUCAGAGUGCGCCCUGUAAUAAUGACAGGGUCUACAUUUCCUUCAAAUUAUACCAUUCAAAAAUGAGCUAUUUUUAAAUUACAUCCCUGUAUUUGUGUCAAAGAGAAUAGGAAGGCUAAGUAUGUUCGCAAAUAGGCGUGACGCUAAUCUUUCCUGAAUUGUCAAUAAGUCUGUUGUCACCACAUGUUGCAGCUGACAAUGAAAACCUGUCACAAGUUUUUAGAGAGGUUAAAUCAUCAAGACAAAAGUAGUUUAUUAACUGAAUAACUAUUGUCAGUCAUAAAAGGGAGUGUAGAUAAAAGUAAGAUAAACAGUUGAGACUGAUAACCAAAGAAGGAAAAACACAUCAGAGUUGAAACAGUGAGCUAAAAGUUUGACAGUCAAAAUUAUCAUUAAGUAACUUUUGUUUGUAUAGACAUCACAAAGUGCUUUAUGUCAAAAAGUUAAGAUAAAUAACAAUACAAAUGAAUAAUAACUGAUAAAAAGUACAUGAGAUCAAGAUAAAAGUUAUACAAACCAGCACAGCUAUAACCAAGCACAGUAAAAAAAAAAGGUGAGGAUGGUCAAAACUGUAUAAACUAAAGUCAGUAUGUUUACACGUUGUCCAUAAAAGUUGAUUGAUUGUCUUACUCUGACUGAAACUUAACUUUGAAAAGAUGUAAAUACGUUACUCAGACUCAAGUUCGUUGUAGCUCAUUACAGGACAAUUACAAACAGGAGCUGACAUAGUUCACUGAAAAUAGAAGGGCUGGGAAUAGCUAAUAUCUGAAUAAUUGCUAUAAGUGGAAGUUUUACAGCUGAAAUUGUUAUUUUUAAGAAGUAGCUAAACCCCUGACACAAUUAGCUGAAAAACAGUUAAAGUAGAUAGCUUGUGGUAACUGCAGAUGGUAGAAAAUGACACAAAAUAUGAUGAAAAUAUGAUUAAAAGAUGAGGACUGACUGAGAGGCACCUGAACUUAACACCCCCAACAAGUAGCAGGACGAAUCAUCUAAAAAGCUUGAAUGAUUGCUCUUGUCAAUCACGUUUGUUAUUUCUCCAGCAGAACCUAUUUUAGAUAAAUCAGUGUAAAUGAAGAGACCCUGUAUCACCUAGAGGAGCUCGGUGGUACAUCAGAGAAGAGAAGGUAAGAAAUCCAUAUUGAUCCCCUGCCUGUUUAUUUUUAUUUUUCAGUCGUAUCAUGAGUACUGUUUUCUGGCCUUGCCUCCCCCACACAUCUACAUUUUUGAUGUGUUUCUCAGUAUAAACGACUGUUGAAUAUGAUCAUAGAUUCAAACCUCAGGUGCAGCCGGAGGAUUUACCGCCUGCCUCAGCAAAGCAUCUUACCUGACUCGUUUUUGUCUGUGCUUGGAUAUGGGAUACAUCGGUGGAGGCAUCUGUGUGUGUGGGCGUUGGAAGAAUUACAAACAGGAGACAAAGGUUUCCUUCUCCACUACUGGAACAGGUGCACUAUUGAGGAAUCACAUUUCCCUCUGUUCGAAACACAAAUCCUACAUGUAGAGCGAAAAUAGGUGAACUGUAAUUUUCAUAGAGAGGCCCCAGAGAUCAAAGGGUUGAUUACAUAAUAUUAAUGAAUUAUCCCGGAUCAGACUAUUAACUGGAACACAGUUUCAUGUAUUUCUUAUUUAUGAUCAAAGAGGGGCUGCCUCAGGGUUGGUGGUGUGUGACACUUUGGUGGUAAUUGGGGCAUUUCCAAACACUGAGAUUUUAACUUGAAUUAAAAAAGAUGAGUUCGAUCACUAUACCACAUCAGAAGUUUUAAACAAAAAAGUGAUUUUAAGGUAUAAAAUUUAUGUUCGGGGUAAGCAAGCUAGCUUUGUGGUAAGUUAACUAGAGGUUAGAUUACUUUGAAUUUAGACUCAGGUCAAUUUGAUCCCUACUGCCGACACCUACCCACUCUUACCAGUUUAGGCUUAACAAGGACAAUAAACAAAUGUCCAAUCUUGUUGCUAAUCUACUUGUUUGCUGUUGUACAUUAUGAAAUAGGCAAUAAUAUGGAUUUCAGUGUUUUUCAUAGAUAUCAAAAGACUUUUCGUAUGAGCUUUAAAAUUUAUUUUAACAUAAUUUAUUCAAUUUACUGCCUCCAACUAUAACAGGUUCCUAGUUUUGUGUAAAAUUGAAUUUGAGUAUAUGUUGUACCUUAAAUCUAGAUGUAGCUGAACCAUGUACAAAAUAAAUCUUAAAGCUCCUGUGAGAAACUUUUGAUGUGAUCUGUAUUGAUUAUGAACAUAGUCUUCACUGAUUCUAUCCUGUACAUGCGUGAACAGUUUUCUUUUUUACUAAAAAUUCAUCUUAACGUACUUUCAAUAGUCCGAUUUGUUUAUUUAGUAAUAACCUGUCCCAUGAAACAGAUUACUUGUUUUCUUACUCAGUCUGACCCCUACCCACCUGCCUGUUUAUUCGGGCAUUAAAAUUGUUUGUGUAGAAAUAGUCUCUAAAUUUACUUUUGUAGGUCAAGAAAUGACAUUAAUAUUCAUUUUAGCCUGUUACAUGACUGGCCCAAAUCUUCUUACAGAUCUAACAUUGUCAGACACCAGAUACUAGAUGCGUUUACAUUAUGGUACGCUUUUGUAAUUAUAAAAGAAUGAAAUUAUGAAAUAUUUCAUGUUGUUACAAAGUCAAGGAAGAAAUUUCAACACAGACUUCUUUGAUUAAAAUGAGUAAUUGCAUUUUUCUUACUACGUGAAGCACUAUGAAUUUGCUAUAAGUGCUCUCUUAGGUAUAUGUUUCAAUCAGUAAAGAAAACAAGUAUAAUCCACAUUAUCUGUGGGUUAUGAAGGAAAAUGUGAAACUUCCACAUUGCCUCCAGUUGUCCACAGACAUCCUCUCAUGUCUUCUCCUCCCUGCUGGGACAGAAAGUCCCUCACUAACUUGCUCAUGGUUGGAGUUUAGACAGGAGCAGGAUUGCUGCUGGAAUGAGGCCCGGUUUGGGCGUGGCUUUCCGGUUCUCCCGGAGAGGAACUUCGACGUCACGAUGCCCAUAUAAGGUCAGAUAA
Molecule: long non-coding RNA, 9473 nt
Filed under: Xyrichtys novacula (pearly razorfish)
Lineage: Eukaryota; Metazoa; Chordata; Actinopteri; Labriformes; Labridae
Source: RNAcentral